RNAcentral lists this long non-coding RNA (1053 nucleotides) under Coturnix japonica (Japanese quail). RNAcentral's name for it is "lncRNA (ENSCJPG00005000270.1)". The record is from RNAcentral. Lineage: Eukaryota; Metazoa; Chordata; Aves; Galliformes; Phasianidae.
CCCAAAUAUAUCUUCCAACUUGUAGCUGUAGUACAACAUCUGAAUUAAAUCAUGACUUAUUCUUUCUAUUAAAGCCAUGUUGUCCCUGCCAUUAUCCCCUUUUCCUGUAAAUGAGUACAAUGAAAAAUUGAUUCUAGCUGUAUUGGGCUGCAGCAAAAUAACAAAAGAUGAUUGUUACAUUAUCAAAGUCCUCUCUGCUUCCACAAUAUAGGAAUUGAAAACACCUGUCUUUAUCUUCUCAAUCAAUACUGCACCUGAGUCACAUUUUCCUGGAAAAAGGUGUCCACUGUAUGUUAUUUAGAUUUAACAAAUGCAUUAUUCAGGCCGCCUUCAUUUAUUUUGAUUACUUGAGAUUGCUCUGCCAUCCCUGUGAGUUAAAUGAAGCCUAAUAUUAAAUCCCACACUAGACUAGUAUGUCACUAACAAUAUCAUGUGACUUCUCUUACGUGAAGAAGUAUGACAGCAGAACAAGUGUGCUUCUUAAAAUAUAUGUGGAAAAGUUGUGUUCACAGGGAUAUUUCAUUGCACGCUGUUCUUUCUAAAAGCAGGGCAGAGGGCUCUGGCUAAUGGCUGCAGCAGCAGAAUGGAGUAAUUGGAGGCACGGCUGGGGAGAGCAGUCGUGGACACUGGUGUCUACAUUCCAGAAGAGAGGAGCCAGUGCUGGAUGCCUAAAGCUGUCAGCAGAACUUUUCAGGUACAUGCCAGAAGAACUCCCAGCUGCAGAGUCUGUUGCUGGUGUUUGGGCAGAUCCACAAAGCUGCAAACAGUCGGUGUGUGCCUUAAAUUCAGUGACUCCUGUGAAGUGAAACCCCAGCAAGCUCCACGGUGAUUUGUAGAGGUAAAUACAUAUUUCACGAGUAAGAUGCAAAUGUGCCUGGCGUAGUCCCCCAAAGUGCACACUCCUGCUGCUGUCACUUGUUUGUGUCUAUCCAAUUUUGAAUUAUGUUUGCCUCUCAAAUUUAAUAAUUUUGACAAGUUAAUUUCAGCCUGUUCCUGACAAGGAAAGUAGCUAUGAGGAAUAAAAAAAAAAAAAAAGAGGAGUGAAGUGCUCCG